GGAAAUGCAGCUCAGUGGUGGAGUGUGUGCUUAGCACACAGGAGGUCCUGGGUUCAAUCCCCAGUACCUCCA
This 72-nucleotide transfer RNA is filed under the name Camelus bactrianus (Bactrian camel). It matches the Rfam family "tRNA". Rfam says of the family: Transfer RNA (tRNA) molecules are approximately 80 nucleotides in length. Their secondary structure includes four short double-helical elements and three loops (D, anti-codon, and T loops). The record is from Rfam by way of RNAcentral. Lineage: Eukaryota; Metazoa; Chordata; Mammalia; Artiodactyla; Camelidae. RNAcentral also lists the same sequence under 1 other name.